This 547-nucleotide ribosomal RNA is filed under the name Escherichia coli. Its description in RNAcentral is "bacterial SSU rRNA". It matches the Rfam family "Bacterial small subunit ribosomal RNA", at positions 979 to 1526 of the family's 1533-position model. Lineage: Bacteria; Pseudomonadati; Pseudomonadota; Gammaproteobacteria; Enterobacterales; Enterobacteriaceae. RNAcentral also lists the same sequence under 1 other name. The record is from RNAcentral.
UCUUGACAUCCACAGAACUUUCCAGAGAUGGAUUGGUGCCUUCGGGAACUGUGAGACAGGUGCUGCAUGGCUGUCGUCAGCUCGUGUUGUGAAAUGUUGGGUUAAGUCCCGCAACGAGCGCAACCCUUAUCCUUUGUUGCCAGCGGUCCGGCCGGGAACUCAAAGGAGACUGCCAGUGAUAAACUGGAGGAAGGUGGGGAUGACGUCAAGUCAUCAUGGCCCUUACGACCAGGGCUACACACGUGCUACAAUGGCGCAUACAAAGAGAAGCGACCUCGCGAGAGCAAGCGGACCUCAUAAAGUGCGUCGUAGUCCGGAUUGGAGUCUGCAACUCGACUCCAUGAAGUCGGAAUCGCUAGUAAUCGUGGAUCAGAAUGCCACGGUGAAUACGUUCCCGGGCCUUGUACACACCGCCCGUCACACCAUGGGAGUGGGUUGCAAAAGAAGUAGGUAGCUUAACCUUCGGGAGGGCGCUUACCACUUUGUGAUUCAUGACUGGGGUGAAGUCGUAACAAGGUAACCGUAGGGGAACCUGCGGUUGGAUCAC